AUGUGUAUAAGAGACAGGUGAAUCAUCGAAUCUUUGAACGCACAUUGCGCCCUUUGGUAUUCCUUAGGGCAUGCCUGUUCGAGCGUCAUUUAAACCUUCAAGCUCAGCUUGGUGAUGGGUGACUGUCCUCUCCCCGCGUUAGGACUCGCCUCAAAUACAUUGGCGGCCGGUACAUUGGCUUCGAGCGCAGCAGAAACGCGGUCUCGAGUCCGGUGGACUUGCUCCCAUAAGCAUCUUUUUAUUUUGACCUCGGAUCAGGUAGGGAUACCCGCUGAACUUAAGCAUAUCAAUAAGCGGAGG
This 300-nucleotide unclassified non-coding RNA is filed under the name uncultured Sporormiaceae. RNAcentral describes it as "sequence contains 5.8S rRNA gene, ITS2". The stretch from base 1 to 88 matches the Rfam family "5.8S ribosomal RNA", at positions 65 to 154 of the family's 154-position model. Lineage: Eukaryota; Fungi; Ascomycota; Dothideomycetes; Pleosporales; Sporormiaceae. The record is from RNAcentral.